UUUAAACUUUAUUGAGAAAAUCUACAAAUAAAGUAAAUUUUCUUCAAAAGUAAUUACUAUAAAUUAAUAUUUAUUAUAUUGCAAGAUGCUCAUUGUUUUUAAAUUUAAAUUUAAACAUUACUGUAAUAGAAAACAAGAAUGUAAGAUACCUACUCAUAAAGAAAAGUCAUGGUUUGUUCUUUAUAGUUUUGUAAUACAACACAAGACUAGUGUCAUAAGUCAAUUAAGACCUACCUGUGUCUAAUUAUAUUAAAAAUAAUAUGUAUUCGUGUAAUUGAAGGAUCAGAUUAGCAGAGAAUCUCAUAGUUUGUAAUUAUAAUUUAAUAUGUACCUAGUCCAGUUAAUUAAGCUACAAAAAAAAUGUUUAACUAAAUUUAAUUGAAAAGUCUUGAAAAUUUGGUAAUGGGAUCCUAAAUUUCCAAAAAAGUAAGGUGCUAUCCCUCCAAAUGUGUUAAUCCUCCCAAAUUUGUGGUAUUCACAAUUGUAUUAAAUUCUUAUUACUUCCACCAAAUAACAUUUUUCCUUAAUCCUGAAUUUUCUCUAGGUACCUACAUACAUUACGUUAUUAGAUAGUACUUGCGCUCUUCUAAUUACCAAAUAAUAUUCAUUAUUACUCUAAUCCAGUGGUUCUUGACCUUUCAUAUCCGUGUAUCAUUUACACAUUUUGAAAUUUUUCACAUACCACUUGACUAACUAGAUUAUUAUCAUUUUUUUUUUUUAAUUAUUAAAAAAUAAAAUAUGUACAUAUAUUACAUAUAUAUUUUAUAUAAUAUGGAGCUUUCUAUUAUUGAAUCUACAUAAUAAUAAGUAUUUAAU
Molecule: non-coding RNA, 816 nt
Organism: Cinara cedri
Lineage: Eukaryota; Metazoa; Arthropoda; Insecta; Hemiptera; Aphididae
Source: the annotation of a GenBank genome assembly